GAUGAACGCUGGCGGCGUGCCUAAUACAUGCAAGUCGAGCGAACAGACGAGGAGCUUGCUCCUCUGACGUUAGCGGCGGACGGGUGAGUAACACGUGGAUAACCUACCUAUAAGACUGGGAUAACUUCGGGAAACCGGAGCUAAUACCGGAUAAUAUAUUGAACCGCAUGGUUCAAUAGUGAAAGACGGUUUUGCUGUCACUUAUAGAUGUAUCCGCACCGCAUUAGCUAGUUGGUAGGGUAACGGCUUACCAAGGCAACGAUGAGUAGCCGACCUGAGAGGACGACCGGCCACACUGGAACUGAGACACGGUCCAGACUCCUACGGGAGGCAGCAGUGGGGAAUCUUCCACAAUGGGCGAAAGCCUGAUGGAGCAAUGCCGCGUGAGUGAAGAAGGUCUUCGGAUCGUAAAACUCUUUAGCAAGGGAAGAAAACAUGCGAUAGAAUAAAUGCAGAGGUUGACGGUACCUAAACAGAAAGCAACGGCUAACUACGUG
This 497-nucleotide ribosomal RNA is filed under the name uncultured bacterium. RNAcentral describes it as "partial 16S ribosomal RNA". It matches the Rfam family "Bacterial small subunit ribosomal RNA", at positions 28 to 507 of the family's 1533-position model. The record is from RNAcentral.